GACGUAGGGUGCGAGCGUGUCCGGAUUUAUUGGGCGUAAAGCGCGUGUAGGCGGCUUUGCAAGUCGGGUGUGAAAGCCCUCAGCUCAACUGAGGAAGUGCGCCCGAAACUGCAGAGCUUGAGUGCCGGAGAGGGUGGCGGAAUUCCCCAAGUAGAGGUGAAAUUCGUAGAUAUGGGGAGGAACACCGGUGGCGAAGGCGGCCACCUGGACGGUAACUGACGCUGAGACGCGAAAGCGUGGGGAGCAAACAGG
Molecule: ribosomal RNA, 252 nt
Filed under: uncultured bacterium
Lineage: Bacteria
Description: partial 16S ribosomal RNA
Rfam family: Bacterial small subunit ribosomal RNA
Source: RNAcentral